Molecule: ribosomal RNA, 253 nt
Filed under: uncultured prokaryote
Description: partial 16S ribosomal RNA
Rfam family: Bacterial small subunit ribosomal RNA
Source: RNAcentral
UACGGAGGGGGCAAGCGUUGUUCGGAAUUACUGGGCGUAAAGGGCGCGUAGGCGGCCUGCUGCGUCGGAUGUGAAAGCCCCGGGCUUAACCUGGGAGGUGCAUUCGAUACGGGCGGGCUGGAAUCCGGGAGAGGAUGGUGGAAUUCCCAGUGUAGAGGUGAAAUUCGUAGAUAUUGGGAAGAACACCGAUGGCGAAGGCAGCCAUCUGGACCGGUAUUGACGCUGAGGCGCGAAAGCGUGGGGAGCAAACAGG